GCGGGUGUUGUAUAAAGGCUAUUAUGCUAGCCUUCCAAGCUAGAGAUGAGGGUUCGAUUCCCUCCACCCGCACCA
Molecule: transfer RNA, 75 nt
Filed under: Candidatus Saccharimonadota bacterium
Lineage: Bacteria; Candidatus Saccharimonadota
Also listed under: 2 other names
Description: tRNA-Gly
Rfam family: tRNA
About the family: Transfer RNA (tRNA) molecules are approximately 80 nucleotides in length. Their secondary structure includes four short double-helical elements and three loops (D, anti-codon, and T loops).
Source: RNAcentral